CUGACUUCUGACAGCACUCCUGUCCUCCACAGCUGCUCCCUGUUCUCCACAAAUGCUCCCAUCCUCCCCAGACGCUCCACCUCGAUCCUCCGACAGCGCACUACCUCUGACCUCUGCCGGCACACUACCUCUAUCUUCUGACAACACUCCCGUCAUCUGCAGGCACUCCUUGAUCUCUGUAGGUGUUCCCGUCCUCUGCCAAUGCUCCACCUCAAUCCUCUGAUGAUGCACUACAUCUAACCUCUGCUGGCGCACUAACUAUGCAUUCCGACAGCCCUCCCAUCAUCUUCAGGUGUUCUAUGUCCUCUGCAGGUGCUCCUAUCCUCCGCAGACGCUCCACAUCUGUCCUCGGAUGAUGCACUAUAUCUAACCUCUGCCAGCGCACUAACUCUGUCUUCUGAUGGUGCUCCUGUCCUUGGCAAUUGCUUCCUGUCCUCCGCAGGUGCUCCUAUCCUCCGCAGAUGCUCCACCUCUAUCCUCUGAAGGCACACUACAUCUAACCUCUGCCGGCGCACUAACUAUGCCUUCUGACAGCGCUCCCGUCCUCCGCACGUGCUCCCUGUUCUCCUCCGGUGCUCCGAUCCUCCGCAGACACUCCACCUCAAUCCUCUGAUGGCACAUUACCUCUAACCUCUGCCGGCGCACUACCUCUAUCUUCUAACCACGCUCCCAUCAUC
Molecule: long non-coding RNA, 677 nt
Filed under: Gallus gallus (chicken)
Lineage: Eukaryota; Metazoa; Chordata; Aves; Galliformes; Phasianidae
Description: lncRNA (ENSGALG00010004282.1)
Source: RNAcentral